This 467-nucleotide ribosomal RNA is filed under the name uncultured bacterium. RNAcentral describes it as "partial 16S ribosomal RNA". It matches the Rfam family "Bacterial small subunit ribosomal RNA", at positions 28 to 507 of the family's 1533-position model. The record is from RNAcentral.
GACGAACGCUGGCGGCGUGCUUAACACAUGCAGGUCGAACGGAAAGGCCCUGCUUUUGUGGGGUGCUCGAGUGGCGAACGGGUGAGUAACACGUGAGUAACCUGCCCUUGACUUUGGGAUAACUUCAGGAAACUGGGGCUAAUACCGGAUAGGAGCUCCUGCUGCAUGGUGGGGGUUGGAAAGUUUCGGCGGUUGGGAUGGACUCGCGGCUUAUCAGCUUGUUGGUGGGGUAGUGGCUUACCAAGGCUUUGACGGGUAGCCGGCCUGAGAGGGUGACCGGCCACAUUGGGACUGAGAUACGGCCCAGACUCCUACGGGAGGCAGCAGUGGGGAAUAUUGCACAAUGGGCGGAAGCCUGAUGCAGCAACGCCGCGUGCGGGAUGACGGCCUUCGGGUUGUAAACCGCUUUCGCCUGUGACGAAGCGUGAGUGACGGUAAUGGGUAAAGAAGCACCGGCUAACUACGUG